RNAcentral lists this ribosomal RNA (526 nucleotides) under uncultured bacterium. Its description in RNAcentral is "bacterial SSU rRNA". It matches the Rfam family "Bacterial small subunit ribosomal RNA", at positions 984 to 1509 of the family's 1533-position model. The record is from RNAcentral.
ACAUCCAGGGAAUUUAGCAGAGAUGCUUUAGUGCCUUCGGGAACUCUGAGACAGGUGCUGCAUGGCUGUCGUCAGCUCGUGUUGUGAAAUGUUGGGUUAAGUCCCGCAACGAGCGCAACCCUUAUCCUUUGUUGCCAGCACGUAAUGGUGGGAACUCAAAGGAGACUGCCGGUGAUAAACCGGAGGAAGGUGGGGAUGACGUCAAGUCAUCAUGGCCCUUACGAGUAGGGCUACACACGUGCUACAAUGGCGCAUACAAAGAGAAGCGACCUCGCGAGAGCAAGCGGACCUCAUAAAGUGCGUCGUAGUCCGGAUUGGAGUCUGCAACUCGACUCCAUGAAGUCGGAAUCGCUAGUAAUCGUAAAUCAGAAUGUUACGGUGAAUACGUUCCCGGGCCUUGUACACACCGCCCGUCACACCAUGGGAGUGGGUUGCAAAAGAAGUAGAUAGCUUAACCUUCGGGAGGGCGUUUACCACUUUGUGAUUCAUGACUGGGGUGAAGUCGUAACAAGGUAAGCGUAGUGCU